AAUCUAAAUGGAAUGUACUCUGCAGACGGCUAAAAACACUUAGGAAUGAAAUCUUGAGGGGCAGCAAAAUCCAUGGUGCUAUCUAUAAAUAAUUCAGAAUAAUAUGAAGGGGCUGCACUCCGACUCUUCUUCACUGAGUUCAACAGUAAUGUGGAAUCCAAUCAAUGUUUCCAACCUUGUAAAGAUGAAAUACGAAGAACGUGACUUUGAUGUGCUACGUAAUUAUACCAAGUGAGGUAUUACGCCAUUAUUAAGCGCUAAAUUCGCACAUGGAUCGCACCACCAAUGAAAAUAAGUCUUUAAGACAGAAACGCAGGAAUAUAAAACAAACGAAAUGGUGCACAAAUAAUUCCUUUCAUGAACUAAUAUUUUUUCUCUGGGUCCUGUAGAAAAAAAAAUACAAAGAUAAAACACUACUCACUACAUACCUUUUCCUUUGCUUACUAUCCAUUCUUUUUAGCAGCCUGCAGGAACUAAGAAAUUUGCCAUAAAAUACUUAGGUUAAGGUCAUUAACGACUAUGUAGAUAUAAGAAUGCUUAUGAUGUUUAUUAUGUUUUGCUGUGAGGAUAUUUAUGAAAUGAAACUAAUAUGCUGAUACUAUAAAGAUUUU
Molecule: long non-coding RNA, 611 nt
Organism: Schistocerca serialis cubense
Lineage: Eukaryota; Metazoa; Arthropoda; Insecta; Orthoptera; Acrididae
Exons: 3
Source: RefSeq, a predicted model, not a curated record